GUAUGCUCAUGGAUCCUCUGAUCUGCUUGGUAUUCAGAUUGAUGCUGCAAUAAACCCUGGAAACAGUGGUGGUCCUGCCUUCAAUGAUCGUGGUGAGUGUAUUGGUGUGGCAUUCCAGGUUUUCAGAUCCGAAGACACUGAAAAUAUUGGAUAUGUUAUUCCAUCCACUGUGGUU
This is a long non-coding RNA of Zingiber officinale, 175 nucleotides long. RefSeq lists it as uncharacterized. Lineage: Eukaryota; Viridiplantae; Streptophyta; Magnoliopsida; Zingiberales; Zingiberaceae. The transcript has 3 exons. The record is from RefSeq and is a predicted model, not a curated record.